CACCCUGACGAAUGGAUGCCAAAGUGCAUGCACUCUAUCAAAUAUAAGUAAAAGAAACUAUGGAUUUUACUCUUGCAAAGUCAUAAUUGAGAUUCCUGUACUAACUACGAUUUCCAGCAACAGAACAGAAAUAGCAUUGGAGAACUUUAUGGGAAAUACAACGGUUCAGUCAGAAACAACGAAAACCCAAGGGAUCAGCGUCGCGUCCACGGAGGAUAAUUUGUGGAUGUGGGUCCUCAUUGGUGUUUCGUCUUUUAUCCUGAUCCUGAUCAUGCUGCUGGUCGUCUUUCUUGCCCAGAAAAGGCUGUGCAACAGAAGCACAGGUACCGCUCUUCUAUUUUGGGUUGGAAAAUGUUGAUAGCUAUCAGACUAUGCGACACUAAAAAAAGGCAUGAGUUAAAGAGGUCAGUAAAGUCACACAAAAAAAAACUCAGUAGAC
This is a long non-coding RNA of Cyprinodon variegatus (sheepshead minnow), 439 nucleotides long. RefSeq lists it as uncharacterized. The record is from RefSeq and is a predicted model, not a curated record. Lineage: Eukaryota; Metazoa; Chordata; Actinopteri; Cyprinodontiformes; Cyprinodontidae. The transcript is spliced from 3 exons.